GUGGGGAAUAUUGGACAAUGGGCGAAAGCCUGAUCCAGCAAUGCCGCGUGAGUGAUGAAGGCCCUAGGGUUGUAAAGCUCUUUUACCCGGGAUGAUAAUGACAGUACCGGGAGAAUAAGCUCCGGCUAACUUCGUGCCAGCAGCCGCGGUAAUACGAGGGGAGCUAGCGUUGUUCGGAAUUACUGGGCGUAAAGCGCGCGUAGGCGGUUUUUUAAGUCAGAGGUGAAAGCCCGGGGCUCAACCCCGGAAUUGCCGUUGAAACUGGAAAACUAGAAUCUUGGAGAGGUCAGUGGAAUUCCGAGUGUAGAGGUGAAAUUCGUAGAUAUUCGGAAGAACACCAGUGGCGAAGGCGACUGACUGGACAAGUAUUGACGCUGAGGUGCGAAAGCGUGGGGAGCAAACAGGAUUAGAAACCCUGGUAGUCC
This 425-nucleotide ribosomal RNA is filed under the name uncultured bacterium. Its description in RNAcentral is "partial 16S ribosomal RNA". It matches the Rfam family "Bacterial small subunit ribosomal RNA", at positions 354 to 796 of the family's 1533-position model. The record is from RNAcentral.